Molecule: ribosomal RNA, 406 nt
Filed under: uncultured bacterium
Lineage: Bacteria
Description: partial 16S ribosomal RNA
Rfam family: Bacterial small subunit ribosomal RNA
Source: RNAcentral
AUUGAACGCUGGCGGCAGGCCUAACACAUGCAAGUCGAACGAGAGGCGGACGGGUGAGUAAUGUCUGGGAAACUGCCCGAUGGAGGGGGAUAACUAAUGGAAACGGUAGCUAAUACAGCAUACCAUCAGAGGUGCCCCGGUGGGAUGAGCUGGUAGGUGAGGUAAGGGCUAACCUAGGCGACGAUCCCUAGCUGGACUGAGAGGAUGACCAGCCACACUGGAACUGAGACACGGUCCAGACUCCUACGGGAGGCAGCAGUGGGGAAUAUUGCACAAUGGGCGCAAGCCUGAUGCAGCCAUGCCGCGUGUAUGAAGAAGGCCUUCGGGUUGUAAAGUACUUUCAGCGGGGAGGCGUUACCCGCAGAAGAAGCACCGGCUAACUCCGUGCCAGCAGCCGCGGUAAUAC